ACAGAUAUACACAAAAGGAGGAGGUAUGCAAAGAGAGAAUAAGACGAAAAAAAACAAAAAUAAAGAAUAAAGAAAGAGGAGGAGGAACGAAAAGAUCUGGGGGAAGGUAGAUAAACACACACAUGCAAAGAAAGAGGGUCUGGGGAUGGGAUCCAAGGGGAAGGAGACAGAGAAAUAGAAAAACGAAAACUGAGGGGAACGUGAGAAAAACAGAGGGACAUAGGCAGCUGGUCUUCUUUAUCUAUAACCCAAAAAAAUCCAUCCCUAAGAACACUAUAGAGUCCAUGUAAAGUUCACUACCAAAAAGCAGCUCCUCCACCUUGAAAACAGCCGCAAAACAUCCAAAAAGAGUCCAAAAAUCAGCUCCAAAACACUAACUUUCUUAGCCCUGAAAUUCAGCCAAAACAGUCCCCAAAAACAUUCAAAAUAGUAGCUGAAAUUGCUGCCAUUUUCGCUCAAAAACAACCUAGAAAUUCAGUUAAUAACUGUCCUAAAAUACGUAAAAAUUCAGCUCUAAAACACGGUAGUCCAAAGUCGCCAAACCUGCCGUUAAACCCACCUAAAACCACCAAUUUUGUAUUCCAAUAACUCAUUGAAAAAUAGUAAAAAUACAGCAGCAAGUGACCGUGAAAACCAGCCCUGAAACAACCAUGAGAAUCCAUGGCAUGAACCCCUUUGCCUUCGAGUUCCAGUUGUAGUCGAGUAGCGAGGUUCAUUACGUCGAGUUCGCCGAUUCAAAGUUUCAGUAGCUCGCUGUGGUCAACUUGAUCUGGAUUUUCACGUUUGGAGAAUAUUGAGCAAAGGUCCAUUCUAAUCUUUGUCAUUUUUUUUGUGUAAUUGCGUGAAUAAACCUACACCAUAUUUAAUAAAUAUUGUUUAGUUUAAAUUGUGGUUUGCAAAUAUAUGUUCAGUUAUAUUAUUCGGUGAAUAUUUUCAUGUUAUCAUUAUUAGUAGUAUUUUCUCUUUCUUCUGUCUAGCUUGAUCUAUUGAUUGUGACCAUGUUAAAAAUUUGUGCUAAUCUGGUGGUUACAUCUUUGUUGCGGGGUGUGCUUUGGAUUUUACAUGAUUCAUGAAGUUUGUUUUUGUUUGUAUUAUUGCUUGUGUUUCGUAUAUUUAUUAUCUUAAAUUUAUAAUGUUAGAUUAUCAAAUGUUUAGGGGUGGAUAUUUAAAAAUAAGAAUGUUAAAUUAGUUGAAUAAUUCAAUAACUUCAAUCAACCACAUGCCUUUUCCUAUAGUUUUGAUAAUUAAAUCACAUUAUUUUUUUACAAUGAUCCCUCUCAUACCUUUUGGCCUCCCAAUAAUCUCAAGAUUUAGGAAGAAUAAUGAAUAUCAUUGGAAUAUUUUUAGGCACUCAAUUUAUCAUCGUAAUUAUGUACACGUUCGCGUGACAUAAUUAUGAUUUUUUAUAAAUAAAUAAAUCGAGGUAUGCGUUCGCGCAACUUCGGCCAAAUUUUCUUAAUAACAAUAAAACGUUAUUAAUUGUGGACACGUUCACGUGAUAUGAUUUUUGACACACCAAACAAAUGGGUACACGUGCGCGUGACCCGUUUCAAGGUAAUUUCUUAAUUACGAAUAAAUUAAGCAAUUAAAAGUGGUUAAGGAGGUGAAUGCACAUAGGUUCUAAAAUAAGUAAUUAGACAAUUUAAUUAAGUCCAGUAUGAUUAAAGUGACCGUGCUAAAACCACAAAACUCGGGAAUGACUAACACCUUCUCCCGGGUUAACAGAAUUCCUUACCCGAAUUUCUGUAUUCGCAGACCUUAAAUAAGAGUCAACUUUCUUCGAUUUGGGAUUUUUAAACUGGUGACUUGGGACACCAUAAAUUAUCUCAAGUGACGACUCUGAAUUUAAUAUAAAUAAUCCCGUUUUGAUUGUCACUUAAAUUAUAAAAACUCCCUUAUAUCCCUUUUGGGGUGAUAAAAAGGAGGUGUGACAGCUCUGGCGACUCUGCUGGGGAUAAGAACCCAGAACUUCCAGUUCAGGGUUCAAGAAUUCGAGCUUGUUAAUGCGAUUUUUAUUUGGCUUUAUUGUUGAUAUUACUGUAUUUUGUGGACUUAAUGUGCUAUUUGUCAUUUACUGCUAUGAUAUUACUUGAACUGUAUUUAAAUGUCUUCUUACGCCACUCCUCUGAGUCUUCUGAAAAUGGUGCACGCGUUCACGUGACCCGCUUUUUCUAUAGAAAUUAUACCAAAUAAUUCGAGGCUGGACUAGUAACAAGGCCGGGUAGACUUUAGUGCUUCCGGUACAUUGCCCCCUCUUCGGCCCUAGUUAUCCGCUCGGGUAACCCAAGUCUAGAACACAACCCCAGGUUAAAUCUAGAAUGACAUAGCCUUAUGCUGGAUCCCUAGUAGGAACGUUUGUUUGCAUCACGUGCAUUUGACCUUAGGGGGCUCAACACAGGGGUUGGGUCCGUCUAGGACAAGUGUACCCGAAAUGGAAGACCAUCCUGGAGCAUCUUACGUGCUAUUUGUAUAUUUAUUUGCUUUGGCUUGUAUGCUGACCGGCUAAGGAAAGAAAAAUAACAAAAAAAAACAAGAGUGAGGUAGGAUAGAGAAUUCACCCGGUUCUGAAAACUCUGUUAUUUGAAAAUGCCUCAAAACUCUGCCAAAAUUUUUGAAAGAAAAGGAAAAGAAAAUGUAUUUCAAAAAAAAAAUGAAAGUGAGUCAAUAUCAUGUUUUUCCAAUUAUGUCAAAAUUGGGCUAACUACGCGGGUUUGAUUCCCACUAGAUGUGAGAUACGUAGGCAAACUCAUCGGUUCCAGCCCACAAUUUGUAAAACAAAUCCAAAAAUAUUUUUCAUUACUUUCUUCUUUAGAAAGUCUUUCUUUUAUACCCCAUUUUUUUUAAAAAAAAAUAUAAAAAAUAUUUUCUUUUAAUUUCUUCUAAAAAUCCAAAAAAAAUAUUUUCAUUUUUCUUUCAAAAAAUGAAAAGAAAAUUCAAGUUUCAAAAAUAUUUUCUUUUUCUUUAGAAGCAUUUCUUCAUAAAUUCAAAGUAAAAUUCCAAAAAUUCAAAAAUAUUUUCUUUUUUCUUUAGAAGUUUUUCUUCGAAAUUCCAAAAAAAAGAAAAAAGGUUGAUAUUAAACAAAUAUUAAAAAAUAUAUCUCUUUUCUUUAGAAGUUUUUCUUUGCAAAAUUUUUGAAGAAAAAUCAAAAUCCAAAAAUAUUCUCUUUCUUCUUUAUAAGUGUUUCUUUCGAAAAAAUAAAAUGAAAAAUUCAAAAUCCAAAAAAAGGUUAGUUUGUUUACUUUAUUCCUGAUCUUCCCGAACUACGCAAGAAUCUGAUUCAUGUUCCCACAUGAUACGUAGGCAAUCCACAUAAGGUUUGAUCAACCAUUGAAAAGGAAAAUGAGAAAAAAUGAAAAAAAAUGAGAAAACAAAAGUGAAAAAAUGUUGAUAAUAAUAAGGACUGACUGAGUCCAUUCUAACGUGUCUUUUAUUUUAAAUUGUGAAGAAAUUUUGAGGUGGUCGGUUCGUGGUAAGUGGACAACACAAGAUCCAAGGAAAAAUGAUAACUGACAUCGAAGCUGUUACAAGUGCUCAAGAGACUCAGGAUCAGAUGGUUCAACAAGAGUCUACCGUGUUUGAGGAAAAAAGAAUACUGAAACAGUAAAUGGCCAAAAUGUGUCAAGCAUAGGCCAAUGGCCAAGGACAACCUUGUCAUGAGUCACAAUUUUCUAUCCAGCAAGAGUAGUACCACUCUCCUGAGUACCACUCUUACCUAUUUGAUCUUCUUGCAAAGAUUGAGAAGCCUGCCCGAAAGAUGGCACAGGAAGAAAUGACCCAAAGAGUGAAAAUCUUAGAACAAAAGUUGAAAAACAUACAAUGGUUGGCGGGUCAGAAGAGCAUUGCCUUCAAGGAUUUAUGUAUGUUCCCCGAUGUCCACUUGCCACCUGGUUUCAAGACUCCCAAAUUUGAAAAGUAUGAUGGAUAUGGAGACCCCAUAGCCCACCUGAAAAGGCAUUGCAAUCAACUAAGAGGUGCGGGAAGAAAUGAAGAAUUGCUAAUAGCUUAUUUUGGGGAAAGCCUUACGGGAGUAGCAUCCGAGUGGUUUAUGUAUCAAGACACGUCUCGCUGGUAUGUCUGGGAUGACAUGGCACAUGCCUUUGUCAAACAGUUCCAAUACAACAUCGACAUCGCCCUAAACCACAAUUCCCUUACAAACCUGAAGAAGAAACCAACUGAGAGUUUCAUUGAAAAUGCCACUAAAUGGAGAGAGCAAGCAGCUAGAGUUAAACCACCCAUGGAUGACCACGAGCUAAUCACUGUCAUUCUUCAGGCUCAAGAGCCAGAUUAUUUUCAAAACAUGAUGUCCGCAAUGGGUAAAUCCUUCUCGGAAGCAAUCAAAAUGGGGGAAAUGGUUGAAAAUGAUCUUAAGACAGGCAAAAUUGUAAGUCAAGCAAUUCUCAAAGCCGCAACUCAGGCUGUCCACAUUGAAUCUGAUAAUUUUAGUUACACAAAUGAGAAAGACGAAGAAAUCAUGAUGACAUCAGGGUCGGGAACAAAUCCUAGGAGAGCAUCUCAAAGGUAUGAUCAGCCUCGUCUGUUUUCCGAUGAUCCUCUGGAGUAUUACUAUCCCCCUCAGAACUCACAAUACUCUGUCGCUCCACCUCAGUAUGUUGUCCAGCCACCAAAACACCCCAGAAGGUGAGCACGAGCAUCGCAAAAUCUCCACCAACCUCCACAAAAUUUUCAAAUGCCCUAUAACCCACAUCCAAGCCAGGGGUAUAGAGGGGAACAAAGGUUGAAAGAUAAUUUUACACCAAUAGGAGGGUCCUAUGCAAGCUUGUUUGAGAAAUUAAAGCAUUAUGACAUGAUUUCACCUAUUCCUCCAAAUCAUGUGGACCCAUGUGCAAGAAACUUUGACCCUUCUAAAAGGUGUGAAUACCAUUCCAAUACCCAGGGGCACAAUGUUGAAAGCUGUCGGGAUUUGAAAAGAGAAAUAGAAAGGAUGAUCCAGGAAAACCCGAUUGUGAUCCAAGACAGUGACACCCAGAAUAUCGCACAGAAUCCUUUACAUGCACAUGAUGAUGCACACUUUGUGGGGAUAAUUCCUGGUGACAUGGAGUAUGAGAAUCCUCUUGGGAACUUGCCGACUAAAAUUGGAGAAGGCCAUGGUGAUUCUGAUGAGCAAAUUUGUGGCUAAAUGUCAAGCUUAACAAUUGAAAAGUUAUUCUCUCCUCACUAGGAAGGAAUCUUGGUAGCUUGUUUUGAUGUUUUUUCUACUAUCUGGGUUAUUUCAGGGUUGUCAUCCAGAUUUUAUUUGUUUUAUUUAGUCAAACCCUUCUAUCCAUCAAUUCUUUUUGUGUGAGUCUUGUCUGUGUGUUCUAUUGCUAUUUUCAUUAUGCGAGUUAUUUUAGGGUUGUAACUCGGAUUUUAGGUUGUUUGUCUUAUUGUCAAACCCUUUCAUCCAUUAUUUAAUAAAAUACAGUUUGUCAUUUUAUGUCAUUCUGUUCCUAGUUCUUUUCUCGCUAGUUCUAAUAACAUGACAUGCAUGCGGAAAUUUUGGCUAAAUCUUAGAAACUGAUUUAAUCUGAAAUUGAAAAAAAACACUUUUGAGGAUGAAUAAAGAGUUGAAGUACUUUGGAACUAAGGUCGAGUAAAAUUCACCUUCAAAUCAUUGUGAAGAUCGGACUUGAGGAUAUUUAAUCAAUUGAAGUUUGCUAUAAAGUUUGACAUUAAGGGAUGGAAAGUAUCUUGUGACCACGACACACCAAGAAGACAGACAUAUUCGUCAAUUGCUGUGAUCGCGAAAAGAUACUAUGUUUGGCAUUCUCGAGGCUGGGAGGCCCUUUUUCUGCUAUCCAAACACUUUAUAACCUUCGCUACCCCUUUUGAGCCUGUGUUAUUUUCUUUGACCACCCUCUUUUGGAAUCAAGUUUAGAGUCAAGAGUCAAAAAACAAAAAAAUGAAAAAAAAGAGUAAAAGAAAAGAAAAAAAUGUCCAUGUCCAAACUACUAAGAGUACAAACCGGGUCAAUUCUUAGAAAGUUCAAAUGAAAAAAAAUGAAGAAGAAAAGAACUGGCAAAGGUCCAUGCCCCCAGAAAAUAGAAGCUGGGGCAACUUGUUUUGAAAACAACAAAAAACAAAAGACAAAAGAAAAAAAAACAAAGAAAAAGAAAGACAGAUGAAAAAAAUAAUUAGGUCAGAUGUUUGAACUACGUUAGACCUGAUUCCUUAAAAAAAGGAUACGUAGACAGCCUUACACGGUUCGGUCCAACCAAAUAAAAGUCGUAACAAAAAAAUCCAAAUAAAAAAAAUCCCAAUAUUUGAAACUGGGGCAGAGAUUUUAUUUCACUUUUGAAAGAGUCGAUUCCAAGAGUUGUAAGUGUACAACCCAUCAUAUUGAGUCUACUUUGGGUCUUCAUGCCGUCCUUUCUUUCCAACCCUAUCCAAAAACCUUCCAAAUAAAGGUCUCGUGAUCAGCCUUCAAGAAUGCUAAGAGACGCAUGCGAUGAGCAACAGUUGUCGCAUGACGUAGAACACUAUCAAGUUGCUCACAAAAGAAAGAGAAAAAGAAAUAGAAAAAAUGAGAGAGUCUUACUAGUGAAAACCCUCACGUACACUGUAAGACGACGGUAAGCAGAGAUGAAUAAAUAAGAGAGACUUGGUGGUGAAAACCCCUCGAGGCACCACUAGUCGAAAGUGAGACAUGAAGUUGAUACAAAGAAUUAGCACAAACAAGCCCGACUUCAAAGGUCAUAAGAAUGGUAAAAAGGAAGAUUGGAUUAGUUGGAUAGAUCAGGCCGUUAAGUCCAAAAUGCAUGUCAUGAUCAUUAAGGCUAGUUACCUCAUUAAAAAAAAGAACAAAGCCUUUUCUUUCUAAAAAAAAAAAUCUUCCUUCUAUCCUUCCCGACAGAGACAUUUCUUAUUAAUAUUAUUUCUUUGCAUCAUUUGUGUCCUUCACUUUGAGUCCGUCCUUGUCAAAACAAGCAAGAAAAGAUUUCAAAAUCUGCUACCAGCUUUUCAGUUGCACAAAGUAAAUUUGGCCAGCGCACUCAGUUGUUACUGUUAACAUGCCUUGGAGAAUUAAUGCAAAGGUUUCUCCCCAAAAGACUCUUGUCAGCCUAUUCGGUUAAAGCAAGCAAAGAUAACCUCAAGGUUAAUCAUGGAUUCUUUGUAGUACCGAACAACGACUAUGAAGUGUGCAUAUCAUGCAAAAGGCUCUUACAAGUUGUGAUUCUCUCUGACAGGUAAAUUGUUCCAAAAGCAAAGACAUUCAAGAUAUCUGAAAAGGUUAUCUAAGAAAGAAAUCUCUUUUUUGAGAUAAGGCUGACUGAGCCACAAAUACAAAUGGUACUAGGUGAGAAAUAAUCAGAGUUGGUGCAGAACAAAAGUCUCUUGAGGCCGACUCAAGCUGAUUGAGCACAAAGCCAAGUUGCUCAAGACUCAAGGCCACAAACCGACCACCACUUUCAAAACUGAUAAAAUUUUCUUUGUUUGAAACAGGAACAAAGCAGUGCAAGGAUAGUUGUUCAAAAAAAAGAGAAAAAGAAAACCAAAAGAAAAGAAGAAGAAGAAGAAGAAAAAAGUCGACAAAGGGAAGUUUCUCAAAUCUCUGCCUUUAUUUGUCUUGUUAUUGUACAUAAAAUCUUACCAUUGAUCUUCACAUUAUAUCCUCCUAGGAUAAAAAGUCAUAGUCUGAUGGAUUUUUCUUCCAAUAAAAAUCUUAGUUUGAUGAAUCUUUCUCCUAAGAUACCAAAAAGAAGAAAAGAGACCUAGUCUGAUGAAUUUUCUCCUAGGAUCAAAAUCUUAGUCUGGUGAAUCUUUCUCCUAAGAUACCAAAAAGAAGAAAAGAGACCUAGUCUGAUGAAUUUUCUCCUAGGAUCAAAAUCUUAGNNNNNNNNNNNNNNNNNNNNNNNNNNNNNNNNNNNNNNNNNNNNNNNNNNNNNNNNNNNNNNNNNNNNNNNNNNNNNNNNNNNNNNNNNNNNNNNNNNNNNNNNNNNNNNNNNNNNNNNNNNNNNNNNNNNNNNNNNNNNNNNNNNNNNNNNNNNNNNNNNNNNNNNNNNNNNNNNNNNNNNNNNNNNNNNNNNNNNNNNNNNNNNNNNNNNNNNNNNNNNNNNNNNNNNNNNNNNNNNNNNNNNNNNNNNNNNNNNNNNNNNNNNNNNNNNNNNNNNNNNNNNNNNNNNNNNNNNNNNNNNNNNNNNNNNNNNNNNNNNNNNNNNNNNNNNNNNNNNNNNNNNNNNNNNNNNNNNNNNNNNNNNAACUCACAAAUCUUCUUAGUGCAAACUGGGGCAGAAAAAAUUUCUUUUGUUUUGUCUGUUUUGUUGUAAUCAGGCACCCAUCCGGAGAACAAGGGAAGACAGUUCAAGUUUCAAGGAAAAGCAGUUUUGAAGGAAGAUAGUUCAAGUUUCAAGGGAAAAUAGUUCGAGUUUCAAGGGAAAACAAUUCAAGUUUCAAAAUAAGUCAGUUCAAGUUUUAGCAAUCAGGUGCCCACCUGGAGGACAAGGGAAGUCAUUUCAGAAUCCGAUUCAAGUUAGAAGUAGCAGAAGCUCGCCUAAAAAAUAUGGGUCGAUAGGGGUCCGGGAUAACAAAAAAGAAGUCUCAAUCAAGAAUAAAAGAAAAAAAGUGAAUCCAAAGUGCAGAAGAGGAGAAAAGAUGUGGUCUGCUCAAGACAUAAUUGAAGUCACAAGCUCUGCAUGUCCCGUCUUGAUCUGAAAAAGCUGAAGAAGAUUGAACCAACACCUGUAGCUAACAAGCAUCAAGAUUCAGAUCAGAGUCCGCAUGAAGAACCAACCAAUACUCAAGAUCAAGCUUUAGAAGACUCAUAGAUAGGAAUCUUGUAACUCGUAGGCUGUAGCUGAUAGGCUUAGUUAGUUUUUUCAAUUUUGAUUUUUGAUGUAAUAACGGGACCGCGGACCGGAACCUCGACGGAACGGAACCUCACCCGGCUCUCCACCUCAGUACGCUCUAUCACCUCAUUCAGUUCUGAACUACACAUGGCCUGAUUCCUUUAUAGCCAAGGAUAUGUAGGCAGCUCAGAUACCAGGCUCGGUCACAUUCUCUUUUCUUUUAAGUGUUCGGUCUCUCUAAAUAAGGUUCGGGUCAAAAAACCUGUCUCGUCGUUCUUUGUCUGAAAACUCUUCGCGUUUCCAGUUAAAGAUGGGCAGCCGUAGACAUGUAAUUUUUGACCCUCUCCAAGAUUUUACACCUUUUAGCGUAAAUAUUUAGUUUAGGUUUAGUAUUGCUCUCUUUUGCUUUAUUUUAUCAUAAAAAUAAAAAUUACAAAAAUAUUUUCUCUUAUUUUAACUAUUAGUUGAUACUUUGUCUAGUUAGUUUUACUUUUGAAAAAAUACAAAAAAUAAUUUUGGCAUUUUUAUUUUCCGAAAAAAAAUAAUAAGAAGAAAAAUUUCAAAAAAUACUUAGUUUAGUUUAAAAGUUAUAGGCCUCUAAUGAAAUAUUGAAUAGUUAGAUUUUCUUUUUUAAAUAAAAAUUAUUUUAUUUCUUUCUUUUAAUAUCCGAUUAGUUUAGAUAAACUAACAAUUUUGUUUCAUCUUCAAAAGAUUAAAAUUGAAAACAAACAGAAGAAUAGAAAAAAAGAAGAAAAAAAACGGAAAGCAAAAAAACGUGAAAAAUCAAAGGAAAAAAAAUCAAAAAAAAGAAAAGAAGGUAGAAAGAAAAUUAGAUCUCCCUUACGUGGCUCCCAUAUUUUUUGUCCUUCCUUAAUUUCUUAUUCUUUAGUAGGUCCCACCUCCAAAAUUAAUUUUCAUCCAUAUCUUCUAUCAAAAUCACGUGCCUUCCUUCCAUCCAUAACAGAAUUUGAUUCCUUUUGGUUACACUCUUAAUAUUGGCAUUUUCAUGGGGACCACACGUUAACUUUCUCAUCAAGAUACAAUACUAUGUAAAAGCACACACAGAUAUACACAAAAGGAGGAGGUCUGCAAAGAGAGAGUGGGACGAAAAAAACAAAAUUAAAGAAAAAAGAAAGAGAAGGAGGAACGAAAAGAUCUGGGGAAGGGAGAUAAACACACACAUGCAAAGAAAGGGGGCCUGGGGACGGGAGCCAAAGGGAAGGUGACAGAGAAAUAGAAAAACGAAAAACUGAGGGGAACGGGAGAAAAAUAGAGGGACAUAGGCCGCUGGUCUUCUUCAUCUAUAACCCAAAAAAAUCCAUCCCUAAGAACACCAACUGUAGGAAAAUGAAUUGAUAAGGAAAAUAUUUUCCAAAACAUUUAAGCCAACCAAACAUGGGAAAAUUGGAAAAUAUUUUUCGAAAAAUGUUUUCCUUCAUACCAAACACACCCUUAAUUGCAAAAUUAGUGGUUCAUGAAAUGCUUUACAUUCUACAGUUACCAGAAACUAAUUUACUCCGCUAAGGGAUUUAUACUCUUAUUGAAGAAACUAAACCAUUAAUAAAACAACAGAAAAGAUAUUAACUUGAUUAUUGAAACUAGAGAUCAAAUUUCAUCUUUCCUGCAGGUUUUUGCUGUUCUCCUUCAUUCACUCCCUCUGAUUCCCCCCCUUUUCCCGUCCUCUCAAAAAAGAAAAAAAAACCUUUCUCUCUCUCUAACAUGGGCUGGCCUUGCAUAUGAGGAAUCUAGUGAUAUGGGUUGAAUCUGUGAGGUUUUGAACACAAAAAAGAAAGAGAAAUUUUUGGAGAAGGUGUGUUGCUGGUUUGAUGUUGGACGACUAAUUAGUCAAUUGUUUCUAUUUUUUGAAGAGCUUGCUGGAAAUUAUCGAAAAUAACAAAAUGAAGAAGAAGCAAUGCACAUGAGAAAAAGAAAGCUCCGUUAGAAAGUGAAGGAAAAGUUAACAGAAGGAUGUUCUCGAGAGAUGUUUUUAGUUAAGUGGGAUAUUAUAAGGAUGUAGUGAAAGUUGAGGUAAAACAAUUGAGAUGAAAAAGGUCAAAAACUCUAAGAUUUCGUAUUGAAUACAUUACUUUUGAUAUUUGAGUUAUAACGACGUUGCAACUAAUUUGCAUAUUUGAUAUAUGUCAUACUUUUCGUAUUAUUCAUAGUUGAAUUAUAAUUUAUAAAUAUUUUAAACAGAUUAUUUGUCAUAAUUUUGUGAUUUUAAUGUAAUUUUUAUAAUUAUUUUAAUAUUAUACUAUCUUAAAAUUCUUGAAAUUAAUAAAAUUUAAAGAUACUUGGGACUUACGCCCCAUGUCUCAAGGCUUACGCCUCGCCCCAUCAAAGGUAAAACGUCUCGCCUCACGCCCCCGUCUUUUAAAACAUUGCUCGUAGCUGAUAGGCAUAGUUAGUUUUUUCAAUUUUGAUUUUUGAUGUAAUAACGGGACCACAGAUCGGAACCUCAACGGAACGGAACCUCACUCGGCUCUCCACCUCAGUAUGUUCCAUCACCUCAUUCAAUGCUAAACUACACGUGGCCUGAUUCCUUUAUAGCUAAGGAUAUGUAGGCAGCUCAGAUACCAGGGUUCGGUCACAUUCUCUUUUCUUAUAAGUGUUCGGUCUCUCUAAAUAAGGUUCGGGUCAAAAAACUUGUCUCGUCGUUCUUUGUAUGAAAACUCUUCGCAUUUUCAGUCAAAGAGGGGCAGCUGUAGACAUGUAAUUUUUGAUCCUCUCCAAGAUUUUACACCUUUUAGCGUAAAUAUUUAGUUUAGGUUUAGUAUUGCUCUCUUUUGCUUUAUUUUAUCACAAAACUAAAAAUUACAAAAAUAUUUUCUCUUAUUUUAACUAUUAGUUGAUAUUUUGUCUAGUUAAUUUUACUUUUGAAAAAAUACAAAAAAUAAUUUUGGCAUUUUUAUUUUCCAAAAAAAAAAUAAUAAGAAGAAAAAGUUCAAAAAAUAUAUCUAUAUUUACUUAGUUUAGUUUAAAAGUUGUAAGCCUCUAAUGAAAUAUUGAGUAGUUAGAUUUUUUUUUAAAUAAAAAUUAGUUUAUUUCUUUCUUUUAAUAUCCCAUUAGUUUAGAUAAACUAACAAUUUUGUUUCAUCUUCAAAAGAUUAAAAUUGAAAACAACCAGAAGAAUAGAAAAAAAUGGAAAGCAAAAAAACGUGAAAAAGCAAAGGAAAAAAAAUCAAAGAAGAAAGAAAAAAAGAUAGAAAGAAAAUUAGAUUCCCCUUACGUGGCUCCCAUAUUUUUUGUCCUUCCUUAAUUUCUUAUUCUUUAGUAGGUCCCACCUCCAAAAUUAAUUUUCAUCUAUAUCUUCUAUCAAAAUCACGUGCCUUCCUUCUAUCCAUAACAGAAUUUGAUUCCUUUUGGUUACACUCUUAAUUUUGGCAUUUUCAUGGGGACCACACAUUAACUUUCCCAUCAAGAUACAACACUAUAUAAAAGUACACAUAUAUACACAAAAGGAGGAGGUGUGCAAAGAGAGAGUGGGACGAAAAAAACAAAAAUAAAGAAAAAAGAAAGAGGAGGAGGAACGAAAAGAUCUAGGGGAAGGGAGAUAAACACACACAUGCAAAGAAAGGGGGGCCUGGGGACGAGAUCCAAGGGUAAGGUGACAGAGAAAUAGAAAAACAAAAAACUGAUGGAACGGGAGAAAAACAGAGGGACAUAGGCAGCUGGUCUUCUUCAUCUAUAACCCAAAAAAAUCCAUCCCUAAGAAUACCAUAACCUUGAAAACAACCGCAAAACGUCCAAAAAGAGUCCAAAAGUCAGCUCCAAAACACCAAUGUUCUUAGCCCUAAAAUCCAGCCAAAAACAGUCCCCAAAAACAUUCAAAAUAGCAGCUCAAAUUGCUCCCAUUUUCGCUGAAAAACACCCCAGAAAUUCAGUUAAUAACUGUCCUAAAAUACAUAAAAAUUCAGCUCUAAAAUGCGGUAGUCCAAAGCCGCUAAACCUGCCGUUAAACCCACCUAAAACCACCAAUUUUGCAGUCCAAUAACUCACUGAAAAACAGUAAAAAUACAGUAACAAGUGGCUGUGAAAACCAACCCUGAAACAACCCUGAGAAUCCAUGGCAUGAACCUCUUUGCCUUCGAGUACCAGUUGUAGUCAAGUAGCGAAGUUCAUUACGUCGAGGUCGCCGGUUCAAAGUUUCAGUAGCUCGCUGUGGUCGACUCGAUCUGGAUUUUCACAUUUGGAGAAUAUUGAGCUAAAGUCCAUUCUAAUCUUUGUCAUUUUUUUUGUGUAAUUGCGUGAAUAAACCCACACUAUAUUUAAUAAAUAUUGUUCAGUUUAAAUUGCGGUUUGAAAAUAUAUGUUCAGUUAUAUUAUUCGGUGAAUAUUUUCAUGUUAUCCUUAUUAGUAGUAUUUUCUCUUUCUUCUGUCUAGCUUGAUCUAUUGAUUGUGACCAUGUUAAAAGUUUGUGCUAAUCUGGUGGUUACAUCUUUGUUGCGGGGUGUGCUUUGG
This 13244-nucleotide long non-coding RNA is filed under the name Nicotiana tabacum (common tobacco). Its description in RNAcentral is "long non-coding RNA (NTAB_LNC012543)". Lineage: Eukaryota; Viridiplantae; Streptophyta; Magnoliopsida; Solanales; Solanaceae. The record is from RNAcentral.